GAUGGUUCUCAGGUGAUGUGCCCCGGAACUGGGCCCCCUCCUCUCUGGUUCCGGGUGCAUCACCCAAGAACCACA
Molecule: non-coding RNA, 75 nt
Organism: Myotis davidii
Lineage: Eukaryota; Metazoa; Chordata; Mammalia; Chiroptera; Vespertilionidae
Source: Rfam